UCAUCAGGUAGGAUUAUCCUUUCCUAUUUCUCUAUUCAGAAGCAGAUAGAACAUGAUGAUUGGAAUUCAAAUGAUUUGGUUAAUGUCUCUAUGCGAUUAGAGCUCGCAACCCUAAUCGCUUCUAUCUGAU
Small nucleolar RNA from Sorex fumeus (smoky shrew), 130 nucleotides. RefSeq annotates it as U8 small nucleolar RNA. The record is from RefSeq and is a predicted model, not a curated record. The transcript has a single exon. NCBI's taxonomy places the organism in Eukaryota, Metazoa, Chordata, Mammalia, Eulipotyphla, Soricidae.